GACGAACGCUGGCGGCGUGCUUAACACAUGCAAGUCGAACGGAAAGGCCCUGCUUGCUGGGUGCUCGAGUGGCGAACGGGUGAGUAACACGUGGGUGAUCUGCCCCCUACUUUGGGAUAAGCCUGGGAAACUGGGUCUAAUACUGGAUAGGACCAUGCUGUUGGUGGUGUGGUGGAAAGAUUAGUUUCGGUAGGGGUUGAGCUCGAGGCAUGUCAGCUUGUUGGUGGGGUAAUGGCCGACCAAGGCGUCGACGGGUGGCCGGCCAGAGUGGGUGGACGGCAACAUUGGGACUCCGAGACGACCCAGACGCCUGCAAGAGGCAGCAGUGGGGGAAAGUGCACAAUGGGCGCAAGCCGGAUGCGGCGACGCCGCGUGGGUGGUGACGGCCUUCUGGUUGGAAAGACCUUCCGGCCAUGACGAAGCCCUUGUGGUGACGGUAGUGAAAGAAGAAGCACCGGCUAACUACGUG
RNAcentral lists this ribosomal RNA (469 nucleotides) under uncultured bacterium. RNAcentral describes it as "partial 16S ribosomal RNA". It matches the Rfam family "Bacterial small subunit ribosomal RNA", at positions 28 to 507 of the family's 1533-position model. The record is from RNAcentral.